ACAUGAGACGUCCAAAGGACGUUCAGAUUAUGUCCAUAUCGGGUCGGUCGGUCCAGAACCUAAUCUGCACCUAAUCUGCACGUCUAAACGACGUGCAGAUCCAGUACAGUAUUUGGACGUCUGACUACGACGUCUUUUGGACGUUGAUAUGCAGUUCAAUAUUUGAGGGUCCGUUCUUGGACGUCAUUUAGACGUUCAAAACAGGUUCAGAAAAAAAAUAUAAAAACUUAUGCAAUAAAAACGACAAAUGAGUUCUGAUUCAAAACAAUGUAACAUGACGUUUUUUUUUUGUGAAAAUUCUUUAAGGUGAUAAAAUAUGUUAUAUUUUUAAGAAUGAAUGUUCACAACGCGUGCCAAAAUCUACUGCAUUUCUUUUGUGUAAUUUGCAAAUUAAACCAAAUUCAAGUGUGAUUUACAAAAAUAAUCAACAUUGCAAUUUUAAGUUUAACCACAAGGGUGUGUAAAAGCUUAGGUGGCGAGGUGGCGCGUGAUCUUUUUUUGCACGUGAUCAACAGACGUAAUUAAGCGAGCCCCAGCCGUAAACGUACUCAACGGAUUCAACCUGCUGUGAACAGGAGAACAGGACCUACAUACACCCCAAAGGCUCUUUUCAGAGCCAUUUGACCAAGCAUCUUUGUACAUGCCGGUUUUCCUUCAGUAGUGCCAGUUUUCCUAAGAUUUUACCUCGUCCUCCACUGCCUCCAGUAAUUCCUGGUUUUAAGGUGGAGUAAUGGAGUAAAGAUGCAACGGAGCAGCUGAUAAGAAAACAUGCUUAAGACCAUCUUAAACGUGCACCAUCAAGAAAGGGAGGGGUACACAAUAAAAAAUUUUUUUAACAUUACUUUUUGAAUAGAUGCACUUUUUAAAAAUUUUUUUAAAGUAUAUAUAUAUUGUUUAUUUAUGUUGUUUUUAAAUGUUAUAAUUGUAUUGUUUUUAUUUGUUGUAUUUAGCUUUUAUGCAUUUGUACACACACAAACACACAACCACAUUUAUACAAAAUAAGUUUUGAAUAAAUACGUUUAAUGGA
Paramisgurnus dabryanus is the source of this 1027-nucleotide long non-coding RNA. RefSeq lists it as uncharacterized. The record is from RefSeq and is a predicted model, not a curated record. Lineage: Eukaryota; Metazoa; Chordata; Actinopteri; Cypriniformes; Cobitidae.